CGUAUAUUUAAGUUGUUGCAGUUAAAAAGCUCGUAGUUGGAUUUCGGGUGGGUUUCAGCGGUCCGCCUAUGGUGAGUACUGCUGUGGCCUUCCUUACUGUCGGGGACCUGCUUCUGGGCUUCAUUGUCCGGGACAGGGAUUCGGCAUGGUUACUUUGAGUAAAUUAGAGUGUUCAAAGCAGGCUUACGCCGUGAAUACUUUAGCAUGGAAUAACAUGAUAGGACUCUGCCCUAUUCUGUUGGCCUGUAGGAGUGGAGUAAUGAUUAAGAGGAACAGUCGGGGG
This 283-nucleotide ribosomal RNA is filed under the name Desmodesmus sp. M-000. Its description in RNAcentral is "partial small subunit ribosomal RNA". It matches the Rfam family "Eukaryotic small subunit ribosomal RNA", at positions 598 to 888 of the family's 1831-position model. The record is from RNAcentral. Lineage: Eukaryota; Viridiplantae; Chlorophyta; Chlorophyceae; Sphaeropleales; Scenedesmaceae.